Molecule: ribosomal RNA, 466 nt
Filed under: uncultured bacterium
Lineage: Bacteria
Description: partial 16S ribosomal RNA
Rfam family: Bacterial small subunit ribosomal RNA
Source: RNAcentral
GAUGAACGCUGGCGGCGUGCUUAACACAUGCAAGUCGAACGGAAAGGCCACAGCUUGCUGUGGUACUCGAGUGGCGAACGGGUGAGUAACACGUGGGUGAUCUGCCCUGUACUUCGGGAUAAGCUUGGGAAACUGGGUCUAAUACCGGAUAGGAAUCACAUGUGGGUGUGUGGUUGGAAAGCUUUUGCGGUGUGGGAUGAGCUCGCGGCCUAUCAGCUUGUUGGUGGGGUAAUGGCCUACCAAGGCGUCGACGGGUAGCCGGCCUGAGAGGGUGUACGGCCACAUUGGGACUGAGAUACGGCCCAGACUCCUACGGGAGGCAGCAGUGGGGAAUAUUGCACAAUGGGCGCAAGCCUGAUGCAGCGACGCCGCGUGGGGGAUGACGGCCUUCGGGUUGUAAACUCCUUUCGUCAGGGACGAAGCGAAAGUGACGGUACCUGGAUAAGAAGCACCGGCUAACUACGUG